GGAAAAUGAACACCCUUCAAAAACUGAAAAGGAACUUUGCCUCAUCUUUCUGGGGAAAGUGUUAACAUGUUUUGGGUUGUACAUGGUACAGUUGUGCCAUGUUAGACAGAAAGAUGACUUAGUUGUUAUCUUUAUUUAGAGGUUAAGUAUGGUUUAAAACAGGGGUGCCUUAAUCCUGGCCUGUGGAGUCCAGGAGUGGAAGCAGGAGAAAGGCGGGCUGGGAACUGUAGAAGUCUCACCUUGGUGUUCACAGCAGGUAGGUGGUCAUUUUGCUAAUGGCUUGGUGAGCGUGCACAGUAAUUAGGCUUUUGCACUUUGGAGGAUGGUUCUGGCUAAGAGAAGCAAAAUGCUUCUUGGGUGAAAGGGCUUUUAUUCUUUUUAUUUAUUAUUUAUUUAUUUUUUGUGGAAGUGUGGGGGUGGGGGUGGGGGGAGUAGUGGGGGUUACCAUGUUGGGCAGACUGGUCUCGAACUCCAGAUUUCUAGUGAUCCGCCCGCCUUGGCCUCCCGAAGUGCUGGGAUUAUAGGUGUAAGCCACAGUGCCUGGCCAGGACUUUUAUUUGCGCUUCCUCUUACACAUGGUGAGUGAGCACCUGAGGUUCAGAGUGCCUCCUUUGCAGAGGACGCCUAUAGUAGGGGCUCAGUGUUUGCUGAAUUAAAGGGAAUUUGUCUUCCCACCUUUAAAUUCACAACACUUCAGAAUCGAAUGAGAGACCUCCGUCCAUAAAAUUGACUUUAUAAAUCUUUUUCUUUUCUUUCCUUUUUUUUUUUUUUUGUUAGAGCCAAGGUCUUGCUCUGUUUCCCAGGCUGAAGUGCCGUGCAGUGAUCACAGCUCCCUGCAGCCUUGAACUCCUGGGCUCAUGAAAUCCUCCUGCCUCAGGGCAGUGCUGCAUGGUGAGGAUCUCUCAUCUACGCCCAUAGCUAAGAGCCUGCUGCAGUCCAUGCAGGUCUUUGGACAGAGGAAGAUGACCACAGUCAUGGCGAGCUUCAAACAUGGCAGUGGCCUCAUGGAAGUGAACAGGCGG
This 1022-nucleotide long non-coding RNA is filed under the name Papio anubis (olive baboon). RNAcentral describes it as "lncRNA (ENSPANG00000039943.1)". Lineage: Eukaryota; Metazoa; Chordata; Mammalia; Primates; Cercopithecidae. The record is from RNAcentral.